RNAcentral lists this ribosomal RNA (1524 nucleotides) under Salmonella enterica subsp. enterica serovar Albany. RNAcentral describes it as "bacterial SSU rRNA". It matches the Rfam family "Bacterial small subunit ribosomal RNA". Lineage: Bacteria; Pseudomonadati; Pseudomonadota; Gammaproteobacteria; Enterobacterales; Enterobacteriaceae. RNAcentral also lists the same sequence under 1 other name. The record is from RNAcentral.
AAAUUGAAGAGUUUGAUCAUGGCUCAGAUUGAACGCUGGCGGCAGGCCUAACACAUGCAAGUCGAACGGUAACAGGAAGCAGCUUGCUGCUUUGCUGACGAGUGGCGGACGGGUGAGUAAUGUCUGGGAAACUGCCUGAUGGAGGGGGAUAACUACUGGAAACGGUGGCUAAUACCGCAUAACGUCGCAAGACCAAAGAGGGGGACCUUCGGGCCUCUUGCCAUCAGAUGUGCCCAGAUGGGAUUAGCUUGUUGGUGAGGUAACGGCUCACCAAGGCGACGAUCCCUAGCUGGUCUGAGAGGAUGACCAGCCACACUGGAACUGAGACACGGUCCAGACUCCUACGGGAGGCAGCAGUGGGGAAUAUUGCACAAUGGGCGCAAGCCUGAUGCAGCCAUGCCGCGUGUAUGAAGAAGGCCUUCGGGUUGUAAAGUACUUUCAGCGGGGAGGAAGGUGUUGUGGUUAAUAACCGCAGCAAUUGACGUUACCCGCAGAAGAAGCACCGGCUAACUCCGUGCCAGCAGCCGCGGUAAUACGGAGGGUGCAAGCGUUAAUCGGAAUUACUGGGCGUAAAGCGCACGCAGGCGGUCUGUCAAGUCGGAUGUGAAAUCCCCGGGCUCAACCUGGGAACUGCAUUCGAAACUGGCAGGCUUGAGUCUUGUAGAGGGGGGUAGAAUUCCAGGUGUAGCGGUGAAAUGCGUAGAGAUCUGGAGGAAUACCGGUGGCGAAGGCGGCCCCCUGGACAAAGACUGACGCUCAGGUGCGAAAGCGUGGGGAGCAAACAGGAUUAGAUACCCUGGUAGUCCACGCCGUAAACGAUGUCUACUUGGAGGUUGUGCCCUUGAGGCGUGGCUUCCGGAGCUAACGCGUUAAGUAGACCGCCUGGGGAGUACGGCCGCAAGGUUAAAACUCAAAUGAAUUGACGGGGGCCCGCACAAGCGGUGGAGCAUGUGGUUUAAUUCGAUGCAACGCGAAGAACCUUACCUGGUCUUGACAUCCACGGAAGUUUUCAGAGAUGAGAAUGUGCCUUCGGGAACCGUGAGACAGGUGCUGCAUGGCUGUCGUCAGCUCGUGUUGUGAAAUGUUGGGUUAAGUCCCGCAACGAGCGCAACCCUUAUCCUUUGUUGCCAGCGGUUAGGCCGGGAACUCAAAGGAGACUGCCAGUGAUAAACUGGAGGAAGGUGGGGAUGACGUCAAGUCAUCAUGGCCCUUACGACCAGGGCUACACACGUGCUACAAUGGCGCAUACAAAGAGAAGCGACCUCGCGAGAGCAAGCGGACCUCAUAAAGUGCGUCGUAGUCCGGAUUGGAGUCUGCAACUCGACUCCAUGAAGUCGGAAUCGCUAGUAAUCGUGGAUCAGAAUGCCACGGUGAAUACGUUCCCGGGCCUUGUACACACCGCCCGUCACACCAUGGGAGUGGGUUGCAAAAGAAGUAGGUAGCUUAACCUUCGGGAGGGCGCUUACCACUUUGUGAUUCAUGACUGGGGUGAAGUCGUAACAAGGUAACCGUAGGGGAACCUGC